UCCAAGAUGAACUCACGGCCCAGGAGCCAGAACACAUGCAACCCUAAGCUAACACCAGCGGCCUAAUGGAUGGCAGCAUGCCUGUACCCUUUUGCUCCGAUCCCCCGCAGGAGGAGAGAAAAAGCCAGUGUUCGGCCAACUCCAAGCGGAGCCCAGUAAAAGCCCCAACAAAUUGAGAGACUUAAAAAGUUGACAAAAAGAAGAGCAAUAAUUAUAACGGCUCAUUUUCCGCAUAAGAAGAACGCGAAAGUAUGUAAAACUAUAUCCCUUCCGCGCAAUUUGUAUGUACAAAUCAGCCAUCCAAAUUGUAGCUUUUUUUAAUAUGAA
Molecule: unclassified non-coding RNA, 327 nt
Filed under: Hevea brasiliensis (rubber tree)
Lineage: Eukaryota; Viridiplantae; Streptophyta; Magnoliopsida; Malpighiales; Euphorbiaceae
Source: RNAcentral